GACGAACGCUGGCGGCGUGCUUAACACAUGCAAGUCGAACGGAAAGGCCCUGUCUUUUUGGGGUGCUCGAGUUGCGAACGGGUGAGUAACACGUGAGUAACCUGCCCCUGACCUUGGGAUAUCCUCAGGAAACUGGGGCUAAUACCGGAUAGGAGCUCCUGCUGCAUGGUGGGGGCUGGAAAGUUUCGGCGGUUGGUGAUGGACUCGCGGCUUAUCAGCUUGUUGGUGGGGUAGUGGCUUAGCAAGGCCUUGACGGGUAGCCGGCCUGCGAGGGUGACCGGCCACAUUGGGACUGGGCUACGGCCCGGACUCCUACGGGAGGCAGCAGUGGGGAAUGUUGCACAAUGGGCGGAGGCCUGAUGCAACACCGCCGCGUGCGGGAUGACGGCCUUCGGGUUGUAUACCGCUUUCGCCUGUGACGAAGCGUGAGUGACGGUAAUGGGUAAAGAAGCACCGGCUAACUACGUG
Molecule: ribosomal RNA, 468 nt
Filed under: uncultured bacterium
Lineage: Bacteria
Description: partial 16S ribosomal RNA
Rfam family: Bacterial small subunit ribosomal RNA
Source: RNAcentral